RNAcentral lists this ribosomal RNA (507 nucleotides) under uncultured soil bacterium. RNAcentral's name for it is "bacterial SSU rRNA". It matches the Rfam family "Bacterial small subunit ribosomal RNA", at positions 26 to 533 of the family's 1533-position model. The record is from RNAcentral.
AGGACGAACGCUGGCGGCGUGCUUAACACGUGCAAGUCGAGCGGAAAGGCCCUUCGGGGUACUCGAGCGGCGAACGGGUGAGUAACACGUGAGUAAUCUGCCCAUCGCUUCAGGAUAGCCAUCGGAAACGGUGAUUAAUACUGGAUAUGACAUUCCUUCGCAUGUUGGGGUGUGGAAAGUUUUUUCGGCGGUGGAUGUGCUCGCGGCCUAUCAGCUUGUUGGUGGGGUAAUGGCCUACCAAGGCUUUGACGGGUAGCCGGCCUGAGAGGGUGACCGGCCACACUGGGACUGAGACACGGCCCAGACUCCUACGGGAGGCAGCAGUGGGAAUAGUUGGACAAUGGGCGGAAGUCUGAUCCAGCAACGCCGCGUGAGGGAUGACGGCCUUCGGGUUCGUAAACUCUUUCAGCACAGACGUAAGUUUGUCUUUUUUGGUGUAAGUGACGUAUGUGCGAGAAGAAGGACCGGACAACUACGUGACCAGCAGCCGACGGUAAUCUGAGCGGU